This 253-nucleotide ribosomal RNA is filed under the name uncultured bacterium. Its description in RNAcentral is "partial 16S ribosomal RNA". It matches the Rfam family "Bacterial small subunit ribosomal RNA", at positions 524 to 776 of the family's 1533-position model. The record is from RNAcentral.
UACGGAGGGUGCGAGCGUUGUCCGGAAUCAUUGGGCGUAAAGAGCUCGUAGGCGGCUUGUCACGUCGGGUGUGAAAGCCCGGGGCUUAACCCCGGGUCUGCAUUCGAUACGGGCUAGCUAGAGUGUGGUAGGGGAGAUCGGAAUUCCUGGUGUAGCGGUGAAAUGCGCAGAUAUCAGGAGGAACACCGGUGGCGAAGGCGGAUCUCUGGGCCAUUACUGACGCUGAGGAGCGAAAGCGUGGGGAGCGAACAGG